CUGAAAACCUAGCCCGCCACCCCCCCCUUUUUUUCAACUUAAACUAAAAUAUUCUCACAGCCCAGUAAAGAAGAUUAAAAAACUUUUAAGAGCUAUAACUUGUACCGCAAGGGAAAGAUGAAAUAAAAAUGAAAUAACUUUAAGCACAAAAAAGUAGAGACUCACCCUCGUACCUUUUGCAUCAUGGUUUAGCUAGUCUAAUUAGGCAAAAAGACCUUAAGUCUAACUUCCCGAAACUAAGUGAGCUAUUUUAGGGCCGCUUUAUGAGCCCACCCGUCUAUGUUGCAAAAUAGUGGGAUGACCCUAAAAUAGAGGUGACAGACCUAACGAACUUAGUUAUAGCUGGUUUCUCAAGAAAAGAAUCUUAGUCCAACCUAAAGUAAACCCACCCCUACAACUGACCCCAUUACUUCAGAGCAAUUCAAAUGAGGUACAGCCCAUUUGAUUUAGGAUCCAACCUUCACUAACGGGUAACACACAACUCACACCUACAAGUAGGCUUAAAAGCAGCCACCUUUUAAAAAGCGUCAAAGCUUAACCAUGUGCACUUCAAUACGCAAACCUUCAUCGAACCCUUUAACCUUACUGAGAACUUCUAUAACACUAUAGAACCUUUAAUGCUAAAACUAGUAACAAGAGGCAACACCUCUCCUUAAUGCAAACAUAAGCCAGCAAGAACCCACCACUGGCAAUUAGCAGCCUUAAACAAAAGUAGCAACCUCACUAGAAAACCCUACUUCCCACGCUGUUACCCUGACACCAGAGCAUUUCAAGAAAGAUUAAAAGAAAAAGAAGGAACUCGGCAAAUAUUUUAGCCUCGCCUGUUUACCAAAAACAUCGCCUCUCGCCCCACCCUGAGAGGUCCAGCCUGCCCAGUGACUUUGUUCAACGGCCGCGGUAUCCUAACCGUGCGAAGGUAGCGUAAUCACUUGUCUUCUAAAUAAAGACCAGUAUGAAAGGCAUCACGAAGACUAAACUGUCUCCUUUCCCUAAUCAGUUAACCUAUUCCCCCCGUGAAGAAACGGGGAUCCCCCUACAAGACGAGAAGACCCUAUGGAGCUUAAAACAUCAUAACACCUGCUACAGCCAAAAUAUCCAGAUUUCCCCCCCCCAGCACGCUGAUUAUAAGUUUUUGGUUGGGGUGACCGUGGAGAAAAUCUCAUCCUCCACAAUGAAAGGGACACUCCCCUAAACAAUAAGUUACAACUUUAUGUAUCAAAAAAUCGACAUCCUUUGACCCAAUAAAUUGACCAAUGAACCAAGUUACCCUAGGGAUAACAGCGCAAUCCACUUCGAGAGCCCCUAUCGACAAGUGGGCUUACGACCUCGAUGUUGGAUCGGGGUAUCCUAGUGGUGCAGCCGCUA
This 1365-nucleotide ribosomal RNA is filed under the name Pristimantis dissimulatus. RNAcentral's name for it is "partial 16S ribosomal RNA". It matches the Rfam family "Bacterial large subunit ribosomal RNA", at positions 438 to 2564 of the family's 2925-position model. Lineage: Eukaryota; Metazoa; Chordata; Amphibia; Anura; Strabomantidae. The record is from RNAcentral.